Oncorhynchus nerka (sockeye salmon) is the source of this 7722-nucleotide long non-coding RNA. RefSeq lists it as uncharacterized. NCBI's taxonomy places the organism in Eukaryota, Metazoa, Chordata, Actinopteri, Salmoniformes, Salmonidae. The record is from RefSeq and is a predicted model, not a curated record. The transcript has 2 exons.
AGGACUGCUAAUUCCUAUGUAGGUGACAUUACAUUACUGCUAAUUCCUAUGUAGGUGACAUUACACUACUAUAGCUGAGACACAUAGUAAAACAGGUUGGGCCCCAUACAGGAUAUCUCUCACACACACACACUCACUGUAAUCAUCCAGAACACUGUCACAACAGGAUACUCCUAGCCACAGGUGCUAGCCGGCAGUUCGGCCACAACUCCCCUGAAGAUAGGGACGCAUACGCUCUUACACACUGACCCCAGAAGACAGGGACGACGCACAUACAGUACACACAUAGCUGCCGAGGACACCCAGAUAAGACACCCACAGAUUGGCAGAAAGCCUAGACUUAGAGACAAACUAACACACACACAUAAUCUCCCUCCCAGCCGAACAUUGUGUGACUGAAGAUAGCGCACACACCAGAUCUCCUUUUCAGCUGAACGGGGUGUGACGACCAAGAACAGGCAUGGCAGGAUUCUACGAUGACGGACAGACAACAGAGCCAAUGCCGGAUGACUACACCCCAGCCUGAUCCAAUCCGAAGAUCCAAUCUCCUAGAUAUCAACCCACUUUCUGUUCUGUAUAUGAAGCUUGUACCCAUUGUUAGCUAGUGUCUUUUUUGCUAGUCUCUGAUGAGCUAACAGAGGGGCCCGUAUAUACGCUGUACCAGAUAUCUCCACUUUGAAAUAAACCUGUCGCUUGUCGUACAAUCUACCACCUUGUCUGCAUCGAUCCUUGACCGACUCACCCUUUAUCAUAUCCCAUUAUCAACAGAAAUGGUAGCAGAGGAUGGUUAAAUAACGAUCCAUCAAAGUGAGUUGAUUUGGGUGUGAGAGGGAGAGAGGGUGAAAGGACGAUUCACAGAGGACAGAGGUGAAGGAAUUCGGGGGAGGACAACAAUUCUGCUCAACUCGGUAAACUGAUCACAAGGCGCACCACAAACAAGGUAAGCAAAACCUGUUAAAUCAAACUUUGCAUAUUUUCGUAUAGUCUUGUCUAAAUUUUGAUCAGUAUUACCGAGUGAGUAUGAAUUCUUGUGUAAAUUUAUAAUUUGCUGACAAGUUGAAAGUACAGUAAAGUGAAUAUAUGUGGUGACAAACCGGUGACGACCGGGUGAUCUAAAUCAUUGAUGAGAUAUCAGUAGGGGGUCAGCACAGUCUGAUAGCUUUCAAUGAUGAGAGAUCACUUUAAGGCCUAGGAUAGUCUCGAUAGGGAUCAGGAAUAGAGAUCAGUAGGGGAUAGUUAACUACUAUUCAUUAAACCUGGCGCCGAGGGGGACAAAUUGUAAUUUUGUCCUGUGGCCCGGUCUAGGCCAGUCUGAUAAGAGAUUCUCUGAUAAGGAUCGGACAUGUGUAAUAAACUCUGAUAGGGGUCAGCUCGAUAUAGAUCAGGAAUAGAGAUCAGUAGGGGAUAGUUAACUACUAUUCAUUAAACCUGGCGCCGAGGGGGACAAAUUGUAAUUUUGUCCUGCGGCCCGGUCUAGGCCAGUCUGAUAAGAGAUUCGCUGAUAAGGAUCGGCUUUCAGGGGUCAGAGAUAUAACGUGUUGUUUUGUCUUGUUUUGUCUAUUUGUAACUGUUUAUAUUAAAAUGCAAUGUGCUUGUAAUUGUUUCCAUUAAGAUUGUUGGUGGUUAGAUAGAGAGAGAAUUCAAUAAGGGUUAUUUGAUAAAUCCGAAACUUCUAUGUUGUAUGUACCUAUGACUUCUGUGUUAAAUGUAUAAUCAGGAACAAAAUGACUGAUGUAUAAUUGAAAUAAGAUCUGAGCACAAUAUUCAAUAUCAAGACUAAAUAGUCGAAUUGAUCUCUAUACAAACCCAUGCGUUUUUCUCAAACUGAAUAUACGAGGAGCAGCUCUGAGAUAAGGCAGAGUACGUGGCUCCAGGAAUUCAUCACGGGUAUUUACCAGUGACGGGCUAAGUAUACUCAGAUAGUCUGAAUAUAUAUUUCAAUUGGUCAAAAUAUACAUAUAUAUUUACUAAAAUAUACAAUAAAUGACAAAUGGUGACCCCGACGUGGUCUGGUAAAAGGACAUCGCUGGACAUUGGUGUGCCAGCCGAUUGGCCAGUACUGUCGUCGGACGGUGUGUCUCACAAAUCUUGACCGGUCAAAUAAAAAGGGUAAGCAGUGUUGUGAAAAACUAAAGUUCUGCACAUUGGAGUUAUCCAAAUUUAGUUUUGUGAGAUACCUGUUUGAUGUAAGUUACUAAAUUUAAACUACAAUGAUGUGUGAGAUUGGAAAAUAGUUGAGAAAGUAAUAUCUCCAUUGGCAACUGCAAUUUUAUUAUUGAUCAACCAUACUUAAUGGUGCAUUGUGUAUGGGAUGUACUAGUAUGCCUGGCUGGUAGGUGGUAACAGAGAACACUUACUACAUGUAUGAAUGAUGGGUAACGGGUGGCCACCAAAGCUUGAAUGGAUAGUCUGGGACUACAUGUAUGAGUGGUGGGUAACGAGUGAUAAUUGGGGGCCGAUUUAGCCGUAGGGAAAGGGUAUCACUUGGGUUUCAGUAAAGGCAUGGGUUGUUGGCAGUAUUGUAGUGUACAUGGAAUGUCGUUGGAAAUGGAAAAGGUGUUGAGAGCGCUGAAGUCCACUCUAGGAUUAAAUAAAGGCAGAGAGGGCAAGGAGUGGAGGAGACGGGGUGAGAAGCUGUACAGAGAAUGGACAGAAGGUGGGGCUAUUGCAUCUCCUACUGGUCUGCUUGCUGGGGAGAAUGAAGAUUUGUAUGUGGAAGAUUUGUGGAGCUGGUACCGGUGAGAAUGUUGAAAAAGUCGCAGGCUUGCUGAUGAGAGUUAUAUCAUAGAAUAUUGGGGGGUGUGCAUGACUGUUGGAAAAGGUGUUAAACUCUAUUAACGUAAAAUUCUGUGUGUAGAGUUAUGAGGUUUGAACUAUACUAAUAUUGUAGAAUUACAUAAUCAACAUCUGAACAUACUUACGAUAAACAUUAAUUGAGCCACUGAGUAAUAGAUAAGAUAUACACUAGGUAAGGGGCGACGGGCGUGGUCGAUGUAAGACGGGAGUGGUGUUCUAACCAAGUGCUGAGAAAUAAGGUAGAUUUAUUUUGUUCUUUUAAUUAGUUUACACAAGUUCUUCCCGGUUAUUGAUUUUGGUUUGAUUGUUCAGAUAAAACCACUGAAAUUAAACAGGAGGUUAAGGUAGACUAACAUUAGAAUCUGUUUUCAUUAUGGGGAACAAUGAAAGGCCCGCAGAGGGGAUUGCAGGCUGAGGUUUUUAUGUUAAAGGAACAGUGCACGUUUAUCACAGUUGUUUGUGUGUAUAAUGGCUGGGUAUCUAAGAAGUAUUUUUGGAGAGACAAUUUGGAGAAACACGAAUAAAACAUGAAACACCGAGACAAAUUAUUUGAGUUUGAGGGGAUUAUCAUAAUUAUUAGGUUUUGUUUUUGUAGUAAACGUUUGGGUUAAGGGGAUUUUCACGUUCCCAGAGACAUGGUAUUUUACAGAUAGGGGAAAAGGCAGACGGAGGGGCCCUCCGCCCGCACUGCAGAGACCUUGAAAGUUGGAGAGAGCAGAGGAGAGGUUUUGGAAAAGGGGGGGGCAGGACAGGCAAAGAUAACAGUUGCUGAGUGGAGACAGGGGAGAGAGUUAGACAUGUGGAAAAUGAUGGGGGCGCUCCUUCAUGAUGAUGUCAGACAUAAGGAUAAUAUACUAAUCUUACCUAAGUCAUGAUUUAGAGUAGGUAAGGUUGUUACCUGGGCAGAGCCAGGUAUCAAAAGGGGGAUGGGUAAAUGUGGUCUAGGAUAGGAUGGGGCCGAUUGGAUAAGAAACUAAUAAUUAAAAAAAAUAUAUAUGUAAGCUAACAAUUGGGCAUAGAAGUUAAAGAUAUAAUCAGAUAAAACAUAUGAGAAAUUGUUUGUUAACCAAGCCUGUAUGUCCAGGAUUUUAUGCAUUACAGGUGAACUACAGGUGAAGUCACUCAAUCCAGUCCCAGAGGCUUGGGGACCAUAGAUGACCCCUGGUGACAGCUAGCUGAAAGAGCUACCCAGAUUCAUAUCGCACGGCGGAAGGGUAAGACACAUUUUUUCACUGUCGGACAUUAAAACAGUGUUCGAGAGAAGAACUGGAAUUAACAGAAUUCCGGGGGCCAACUCUCGAAUGAAGUAACCCUACCUGUCCUAUCACCCCUGUUUUUGUUCAUAGAAGUGAGGAUGUGUCUGGCUCUGGCUAAGUGAUGUGUAUUUUGUUCCAAAAUGAGCAUAAGAGAUCCCUAGAUCGGGGUAGACAAGUUAGAGUAGAGAUUACAUGAUAACCGACUUCGGACAGUUCUAGGAUUGGAGAAGAGGGUAUCCUUAUAGCAAGGGGGAUCCCACAAGGGUGGAUAGGUUUUCCAUGAUAUGGGGAAACCUGGGAGCAAUGUUGAACUUUGUAAAGGUGAUGAAAUCCUACUAACCAUCAAAACUAUUAAGCUCUCUGAUGCAGGCACUCACACCCUCGGACUACAAAGGACGAGGACAGACAUGAUGGGUGUGUUUUCUAUUAAGGUACUGCCAAGACCAGAGGUAGCCGGACACACUCCUCUACCACCACUGUGUUAAAAAUACCAUUCAGGUAAUUAAUGUUAGAGACUAUUCGGCUAUUGAUCAAUUAGGAACUGAGACUGGUUUUGAUAGUAGGGACAAUUUGUGGCUGUCUUAUAUGAGGUACACAGCUAAAACCCUGAGAGGAAAGGACUGCAUUAUUUGUAGUCAUGCUAGACCUGUUCUGGCUACACACCCAUUUGCUGUAGGAGAAGGAGAGGGGUGGUUGUGUAUUCUGAGAAGUUUUUACCAGGUUAAGCCCAAUUCAACCCUCUGUUCCUCUUUGAGCCUUGUGUUUCCUGCAGUACCUCCUCAUCAGGCCUCUUGGGGUGUUGAGGCAUAUGGGGGCAAUCAAGAGUGCAUCACGGGUACAGGUAAUGGCAUUGAUUAUGGGGGAUUGCCUGAAGCUGAUUGCAGUAGUAACAUAACCAUUAAUUCCACUUGGCCAGUUACAGGCUGAUGUGAGGUGGAUGAGUGGAGCCAAGAGUGCUGAGACCCAUUCUUAGAGGAGAAUGGCAAGGUACGUGUGCUCUGACCAGUUUGAUAAUUCCACUGACCAUUGUUGAUGUUACUGCUGAACAGCUGUUGGGUUCUGUAUCCAAGGGACCUGAAAACAUUCCAUCCCAUGGGAGACAUAGACGUAGCGCUCAGAGAAUGUAGUUGACAUAAACACUAACCUGUUGGGUGUGCCAGUGGGGGUUCCUCAUGAGUUUCAGGCCUUGGGUAGGAAUGAUGGACUCUGGCACUUACUACCUACUAUGGGUCCAGCCAUGGUGGAUGCUAGACAGACUGCAUGGAUUAAUUAUAUCUACUAUAAUCAACAGCGGUUUGUGAAUUACUCCGUGAUGCACUCACUGGUAUGUCUGAACAGCUUGAGGCCACAUUUGGGGUUUCCAGACAGAAUAGACUUGCCUUGGAUAUGCUUCUUGCCAGUCAGGGGACGUUUGCAAGAUGUUCGGUAAACAAUGUUGCACGUAUAUUCCUAAUAAUACCAGUCCAGAUGAUAUCUAGGGCGGGCUUGAUGCACUAUCUGAUAAGAUGAGGUCCACGGGGGGGGGGGGGAGGAGUCUGUUCUCUUGGCCUGGUUUGGUAAGUACACUGAUAUGAUGGUUACUGGAUUUCUGACCCUAAUUCUUGUAUUAUUUGUUAUUGAUGUGAUGUGCUGCUUGCAUCAUACCGUGUUCUAAGAAAUAUGUUACAGAUAUGGCGAAGGCUUCAGGCAUGUUGCCUUUGCUUGAUGCUCCAGUUGGAGAUGCCGAUACGGAAGCAUGCUUUCAGGAGAGGAUGGGACUGACUGAGGAUGACCCAUGGUAUGCUGUGGGUGAGGUAGUAGAAUAAUUUUACACCACCACAGUUCCUUGUUAUAAAAUUUUAUGAUAGGUUUUCUUUCCAGUAUGUUUGUUCUCCCUGUUGUAAAGGUUUAGAGUCCCUGGGUGGCAAGGAGCCCACCUGAUACAGGAUAGAAGUAGCUGAGAGGACCAGAUGGUUUCUAAUAAUUCUUUCCUCUGUUUUCCAUGACCAAAGUUUUAUCCUACAUCUUACAUGUCAAUAACAAUAAAGUUUUAUCCUGUUUUUGAUAAGUGACACCCUUGUGGGUGUCAAAAGGGGGAAACGCAUAUAACAAUAGACAUAUAUCACUUGUUAUUAAUAAUAAACUUUUUAUUAUUUUCAUGAAAUGCUAUGACUGCUGAAAUAAAGGAUAAUGAGUGUCAAAGGGGGACUUAAAUUUCACACCUUUGGGGUUAUUUUACAUUAUAGCCAUUACCAUAUAUAUUAUCUGCUGUUGCCUUGGGUGGAUGUGUGUAUGUGUUAUGUUCUCUAGCUGAUUUGAAACAUUGUUGAAAGUAUCAGGGCCAUGGAACUUUCUCAUGCUGGGAAAAUACAGAAGGGAGGGCACAUUCAGAGCGUGGGGUUGCGAGAACAAGCAGUCUUUUGUUAGAUAACAGGAGCCAGGUGCGAGAUAACGGUAUGGAGCAUGAGACCCAUCUUUUAGUUUUUGCAGCCAUUUUAGUGUUGUGCGGCUGCGGUUGCAUUCCAUGUAUCCGGUUCCUUACUGCUAGAGUUAUCUCCAGAGCUAUUGACCCUUCUUCCCUUCCCAGAUGUAUCCUCUGCUUGCUAAUGACCUGCCAGAGUUUGAGGAUGAGGUGGAGAAUACCCUUUAGAGAGUGUCACAUCUCUUUGGAGAUGUGAAGAGAGGGUAUCACAACUUUUUCCUGCUGGAAAAGGUUGGCUUAUGUGGACAAACAUUUUACUUAUAGCUUAGAGCUGUUGUUCUCCGCAAUUGUUAAAUGAGGGUUGUAAGUUCCUAGGUGGCUGGUAGCCAACUUAGUACAUAGUGGGAUUGAGUGGAGAACUUGGUGGUAAUACAUAUACAUCCAUUUCUUUUUAAUGUUGUGCCUUUUUAUAGCCCCUUUGGGAAAAGUUUUCUUUUGUAUCAGAAUCUAGUUAGGUUGUGUCAUGUCUCUGGGGAGACGUGAAGAGAGGGAUUUGUAGAGGACUGCUAAUUCCUAUGUAGGUGACAUUACAUUACUGCUAAUUCCUAUGUAGGUGACAUUACACUACUAUAGCUGAGACACAUAGUAAAACAGGUUGGGCCCCAUACAGGAUAUCUCUCACACACACACACUCACUGUAAUCAUCCAGAACACUGUCACAACAGGAUACUCCUAGCCACAGGUGCUAGCCGGCAGUUCGGCCACAACUCCCCUGAAGAUAGGGACGCAUACGCUCUUACACACUGACCCCAGAAGACAGGGACGACGCACAUACAGUACACACAUAGCUGCCGAGGACACCCAGAUAAGACACCCACAGAUUGGCAGAAAGCCUAGACUUAGAGACAAACUAACACACACACAUAAUCUCCCUCCCAGCCGAACAUUGUGUGACUGAAGAUAGCGCACACACCAGAUCUCCUUUUCAGCUGAACGGGGUGUGACGACCAAGAACAGGCAUGGCAGGAUUCUACGAUGACGGACAGACAACAGAGCCAAUGCCGGAUGACUUACACCCCAGCCUGAUCCAAUCCGAAGAUCCGAUCUCCUAGAUAUCAACCCACUUUCUGUUCUGUAUAUGAAGCUUGUACCCAUUGUUAGCUAGUGUCUUUUUUGCUAGUCUCUGAUGAGCUAACAGAGGGGCCCGUAUAUACGCUGUACCAGAUAUCUCCACUUUGAAAUAAACCUGUCGCUUGUCGUACAAUCUAC